This 1526-nucleotide long non-coding RNA is filed under the name Marmota monax (woodchuck). Lineage: Eukaryota; Metazoa; Chordata; Mammalia; Rodentia; Sciuridae. The record is from RNAcentral.
GUGGGCUGGGAUGGUCCUGGGGGUGUGGCGGCAUGGGCCUCUUGAGCUCAGCCUCCUGCCCUCCCACAGCGUGUGCUAACAGCCGACUUCUGUGAGGGCUGCAAGGUCAACGACGUGGAGGCCAUCGAGAGCCAGGGGCUGGCAGUGCGGGAUGUGAGUGCUGUGCACCUAGUCAGGGGGUGGGGUGGGGGUGCUGCCGGGUCUGCUGCACAUCCUGCCCCCUCCCCAGGUAGCAGAGAAGCUGAUCCAGGCUUUUGCUGAGCAGAUAUUCUACACAGGCUUCAUCCACUCAGAUCCCCACCCUGGCAAUGGUAGGACCCCUGGGAGAUGUCUUGGUGGGUGGCCUGGAUUGACAUGCUGUGUCUGCCACCCUGGCGAUGGUGGCCUCAGCGACAUACUCUGUCUGUAGUUCUGGUGCGGAGAGGCCUGGACGGGAAGGCAGAGCUGGUGCUGCUGGACCAUGGGCUCUACCAGUUCCUGGACGAGAAGUGAGCUGUGGGCAGGUGGGACCCUCUCCCUGUGGCCUGGCCUUUCCUGCCCUGAGACGUGGGGCUCAUAGCCAGACCCUCCCACAGGGACCGGUCAGCGCUGUGCCAGCUGUGGCGCACCAUCAUCCUGAGGGACAAGGCUGCAAUGAAGGAGCACGCAGCUGCACUUGGUGUAAACGGUAAGGGCAGGUGCAGCCCCAGGUUGGGCAGUGCUAGCCGGACACAGCCCAGCUCAGGCCCUGCCUCCACAGACUACUUGCUGUUCUCUGAGAUGCUCAUGCAGCGGCCUGUGCGCCUAGGGCAGCUGUGGCACUCCCACCUGCCCAGCCACGAGGAGGUGGCCUACAUGCAAGACAUGGCCCGCAGCCACUUCGAGGCCAUCAUGCAGGUGCUCCGGGCACUGCCUCGGUCCAUGCUGCUCGUGCUGCGCAACAUCAACACGGUCCGUGCCAUCAAUGUGGCUCUUGGCACCCCUGUGGACCGCUACUUCCUCAUGGCCAAGAGGUUAGUGACCGAGGGGGUUCCCUGGGGGUGGAUGAGGCCCAUGGGCUGAUGCCUGUGUCCGACACAGUGCGGUCAGAGGCUGGAGCCGCCUGGUGGGUGCAGCAUACCCAGGUAUCUACGGCAGUGGCCUCCUGCGCCACAUGAAGGUUGCCUGGGAGAUGUUCAAAUUUGAGGUGGCUCUGAGGUGAGUAGAUAUGUGGUACUGGUUGGGUGGUGGGCCUGGGCCUUCUGACAACCAAUCUUUGACCCCCUACUCUACACCCUCCCAUAGGUUGGAGACCCUGGCCAUGCGGCUCACCGCCCUCCUGGUUCGUGUUCUGGUCUACCUGGGCCUUGUGCCUCAGGCCGAGGAGCUCUACCAGUACCUGGAGACAUAGAUCCCCAGGGCCAGGAUGACCACACAGCUGCUCUUAGCCCUGGCCCACUGACAUCAGGCAGUCGGGCACCUCACACUGUGGGGCAUGGGGCAGUCAUGGCCUGAAGCAGGGGAAGCAUUGUGGGGCCCUGACCAGCAAUGACCACACACUCGUCUCA